This 89-nucleotide vault RNA is filed under the name Oncorhynchus mykiss (rainbow trout). RNAcentral's name for it is "Vault RNA (ENSOMYG00000029347.2)". It matches the Rfam family "Vault RNA". Rfam says of the family: This family of RNAs are found as part of the enigmatic vault ribonucleoprotein complex. The complex consists of a major vault protein (MVP), two minor vault proteins (VPARP and TEP1), and several small untranslated RNA molecules. Lineage: Eukaryota; Metazoa; Chordata; Actinopteri; Salmoniformes; Salmonidae. The record is from Rfam by way of RNAcentral.
GCGCUGGUUUAGCUCAGUGGUUACUUCAACCUGUUUUUCACGGUCCGCGGGCUAUGAAGUACGAACCACGGGCGCUGUCCAGCGUUUUU